CAAGCUCUGAUCCUAAAACAUGCUAGCCAAGAUCUCUACACUGCUUUGCACUCCAAACUCUGUUUGUGUCUUUAAGACAGUAUUGAUAACUGUACACAUUUAAAAUGCAUUUUGAAUCCUCAUCGCAAUAACUGGAUAUAUACCUUGAGGAGAAACGAAUUCUCUUAUCAAGGAGUAUGGGAAUGGAUGUCAAGGUGCAACGAUGACACUGCAAGGAAAAUAAUCCAACCAGAUGGGAAGGAGUAUACAGCACUAAGACACAUUUGACAAAGACACAGAAAAUUUCUUCGUGCUCUAAAAUAAAUGGCAAAUUUUGUUCAAGAAAGCAAAAGUGAAGAGUGAGAGAGAAAUCAGGCUCUGCAGAGGGAGUUUGGGCCUAGUAAAGAGACAAAGAGGUUGAGAGAGUCUACCCUAAAGACUGGAGUUUCCAAGUUUGACAAGGAAUUUCAUAAUCCAAGAUUGGAAAAAACUGAGCCCAGUUAUUGGAACUCGAGAGAGUCACAGGAGCUUAGUGAACCGGGAUGAAGAUAUGAAUCAUAUAAACUUGACUCUAGCAUUCUUGUCUGUCAUUUCCUGGGGAACACUUCUAGGUCGUUCCUCCUUGUGUGAUGUUACGAGGGACACACCUACCGCAAUGCCUUACACUUAAUUUGUAUUUCCAGGUAAGACCUUCCUAAGUUCUAGAUUCUUGUGUCUAACUGCAUACUAUGUAACUCCUGUUCUUUAAUACACGCCAGUAACUCAGACUGUCCAAAAUGGAGCCCUUGCUUGGCUCCCUACACGUUUCACUCAGAUGUAUAGCCCUAAGGAACCUAGUGUUUUUAUCCACAAUGUAUAUUUACACUUUGCAUUUUUACUUCGAUUCUUGGCAGGC
Long non-coding RNA from Fukomys damarensis (Damara mole-rat), 874 nucleotides. RefSeq lists it as uncharacterized. Lineage: Eukaryota; Metazoa; Chordata; Mammalia; Rodentia; Bathyergidae. The transcript has 4 exons. The record is from RefSeq and is a predicted model, not a curated record.